RNAcentral lists this ribosomal RNA (253 nucleotides) under uncultured bacterium. RNAcentral describes it as "partial 16S ribosomal RNA". It matches the Rfam family "Bacterial small subunit ribosomal RNA", at positions 524 to 776 of the family's 1533-position model. The record is from RNAcentral.
CACGGGGGGAGCAAGCGUUGUUCGGAAUCACUGGGCGUAAAGGGCGUGUAGGCGGUCAAGUAAGUGGAAUGUGAAAGCCCCCGGCUUACCCGGGGAUCUGCAUCCCAAACUGCUUGGCUUGAGUACGGGAGAGGAUAGGGGAAUUCCUGGUGUAGCGGUGAAAUGCGUAGAUAUCAGGAGGAACACCGGUGGCGAAGGCGCCUAUCUGGCCCGAUACUGACGCUGAGGCGCGAAAGCGUGGGGAGCAAACGGG